UGUCUCAUGGUGUAAUGGUAGCACAACAGUUUUUGGUUCUGUUUGUCUAGGUUCGAAUCCUGGUGAGACAACAA
This 74-nucleotide transfer RNA is filed under the name Bacteroides sp. 224. RNAcentral's name for it is "tRNA-Gln". It matches the Rfam family "tRNA". Rfam says of the family: Transfer RNA (tRNA) molecules are approximately 80 nucleotides in length. Their secondary structure includes four short double-helical elements and three loops (D, anti-codon, and T loops). Lineage: Bacteria; Pseudomonadati; Bacteroidota; Bacteroidia; Bacteroidales; Bacteroidaceae. The record is from RNAcentral. RNAcentral also lists the same sequence under 1 other name.